RNAcentral lists this unclassified non-coding RNA (251 nucleotides) under uncultured fungus. RNAcentral describes it as "partial contains 5.8S ribosomal RNA, internal transcribed spacer 2, and large subunit ribosomal RNA". The stretch from base 1 to 52 matches the Rfam family "5.8S ribosomal RNA", at positions 103 to 154 of the family's 154-position model. Lineage: Eukaryota; Fungi. The record is from RNAcentral.
AACGCACAUUGCGCCCUUUGGUAUUCCAAAGGGCAUGCCUGUUCGAGCGUCAUUUGUACCCUCAAGCUUUGCUUGGUGUUGGGCGUUUUGUCUUUGCUCGCCAAAGACUCGCCUUAAAACGAUUGGCAGCCGACCUCUUGGUUUCGCAGCGCAGCACAAUUUUGCGCUUGCAAAUCAGCAAGUUGGCACUCCAUCAAGAACAUUUUUUUACGUUUGACCUCGGAUCAGGUAGGGAUACCCGCUGAACUUAA